GUGCCACCCCCCGCCGGUAAAACGGAAGAGUGCAGCCGUUAACUCGAAUUACUGGGCUGAAAGCGCACGCAGGCGGGUUGUUAAGUCAGAUGUGAAAUCCCCGGGCUCAACCUGGGAACUGCAUCUGAUACUGGCAAGCUUGAGUCUCGUAGAGGGGGGUAGAAUUCCAGGUGUAGCGGUGAAAUGCGUAGAGAUCUGGAGGAAUACCGGUGGCGAAGGCGGCCCCCUGGACGAAGACUGACGCUCAGGUGCGAAAGCGUGGGGAGCAAACAGGAUUAGAUACCCUGGUAGUCC
Molecule: ribosomal RNA, 294 nt
Filed under: uncultured microorganism
Description: partial 16S ribosomal RNA
Rfam family: Bacterial small subunit ribosomal RNA
Source: RNAcentral